RNAcentral lists this ribosomal RNA (225 nucleotides) under uncultured bacterium. RNAcentral's name for it is "partial 16S ribosomal RNA". It matches the Rfam family "Bacterial small subunit ribosomal RNA", at positions 107 to 334 of the family's 1533-position model. The record is from RNAcentral.
GGAGUAAUGUCUGGGAAACGUGCCUGAUGGGAGGGGGUAACUGCUAGGAACGGUAGCUAAUACCGCAUAACGUCGCAAGACCAAAGAGGGGGACCUUCGGGCCUCUUGCCAUCGGAUGUGCCCAGAUGGGAUUAGCUAGUAGGUGGGGUAACGGCUCACCUAGGCGACGAUCCCUAGCUGGUCUGAGAGGAUGACCAGCCACACUGGAACUGAGACACGGUCCAG